Long non-coding RNA from Mesocricetus auratus (golden hamster), 755 nucleotides. RefSeq lists it as uncharacterized. The transcript is spliced from 3 exons. Lineage: Eukaryota; Metazoa; Chordata; Mammalia; Rodentia; Cricetidae. The record is from RefSeq and is a predicted model, not a curated record.
UGGGGCAAGGGCGACGGUGAAGUCAUUGUCAUCCCCAAGUCCCGCCAUGCCAACACGGAGGCUGCCAGCCUUAGGGGGCCACCUCAUGGCCCCAGGCGGAGAUGUGACAUAUAUAAAAGGUGGGCCAUCUGAGAGUGUCCCACACAGCUCAGCGUCUCCACACUCCAGUCUCUGGUGAACUCUGUUGGAAAUCCAGAAUGUCUCAGCAGAAGCAGAAGCAGUGCUGCCCCCCACCCCAGCAGUGCGCCCCCCCACAGCAGUGCUGCCCCCCGCCCCAGCAGUGCGCCCCCCCACAGCAGUGCUGCCCCCAAUCCCAGCAGACCAAGCAGCCUUGCCAGCCUCCUCCAAAGUGCCAACAGAAGUGUCCACCACCCCAGCAAUGCCAGAAGUCCAAGCAGAAGUAAGCUCUCAGCUUGUGGCCAGAGAAUUCCCAGGAGGACAGAGCAUGACAUCUGUCCUUCUUUGUCAGCCAUCUGGUAUUCCUUCCCGCAUCAGCCAUGUAUGGGCUCACCCUGCUCCUGGAUGCAGUUGCAUUUCACACUUGAAAAAGAAGCUUCUAGGCUGCAGCUUCCUCGAUCUCAAUCCCUUCUUAAUUAGCAGUUUCAGUUUGCAUCUCUGACAAAGAUCUGCUUCUAAACUGUCUAAUCAUCUUUGCUGACAUGUGCCUACAUCACCCUGCUGGAAACCCUGGCGGCACGCCCAGACGCCCUUUCCCAUCACCCUUCCCAAGCAAUUAAAAAAGAAUUCCCCUGGCA